GGCCCGUUAGCUCAGUUGGUUAGAGCGUCGUGCUAAAAAACGCGAAGGUCGCGGGUUCGAUCCCCUCACGGGCCA
RNAcentral lists this transfer RNA (75 nucleotides) under Trichonephila inaurata madagascariensis. It matches the Rfam family "tRNA". From Rfam's summary of the family: Transfer RNA (tRNA) molecules are approximately 80 nucleotides in length. Their secondary structure includes four short double-helical elements and three loops (D, anti-codon, and T loops). Further hydrogen bonds mediate the characteristic L-shaped molecular structure. tRNAs have two regions of fundamental functional importance: the anti-codon, which is responsible for specific mRNA codon recognition, and the 3' end, to which the tRNAs corresponding amino acid is attached (by aminoacyl-tRNA synthetases). tRNAs cope with the degeneracy of the genetic code in two manners: having more than one tRNA (with a specific anti-codon) for a particular amino acid; and 'wobble' base-pairing, i.e. permitting non-standard base-pairing at the 3rd anti-codon position. The record is from Rfam by way of RNAcentral. Lineage: Eukaryota; Metazoa; Arthropoda; Arachnida; Araneae; Nephilidae.